UACGUAGGGGGCAAGCGUUGUCCGGAAUGAUUGGGCGUAAAGGGCGCGUAGGCGGCCUGGUAAGUCUGGAGUGAAAGUCCUGCUUUUAAGGUGGGAAUUGCUUUGGAUACUGCUGGGCUUGAGUGCAGGAGAGGUAAGUGGAAUUCCCGGUGUAGCGGUGAAAUGCGUAGAGAUCGGGAGGAACACCAGUGGCGAAGGCGACUUACUGGACUGUAACUGACGCUGAGGCGCGAAAGUGUGGGGAGCAAACAGG
RNAcentral lists this ribosomal RNA (253 nucleotides) under uncultured bacterium. RNAcentral's name for it is "partial 16S ribosomal RNA". It matches the Rfam family "Bacterial small subunit ribosomal RNA", at positions 524 to 776 of the family's 1533-position model. The record is from RNAcentral.